Molecule: ribosomal RNA, 472 nt
Filed under: uncultured bacterium
Lineage: Bacteria
Description: partial 16S ribosomal RNA
Rfam family: Bacterial small subunit ribosomal RNA
Source: RNAcentral
GACGAACGCUGGCGGCGUGCUUAACACAUGCCAGUCGAGCGGAAAGGCCCUUCGGGGUCCUCGAGCGGCGAACGGGUGAGUAACACGUGAGUAAUCUGCCCUUGGCUUUGGGAUAACUACCGGAAACGGUGGCUAAUACCGGAUACGACAACCGUCUGCAUGGGCUGGUUGUGGAAAGUUUUUUCGGCCAGGGAUGUGCUCGCGGCCUAUCAGCUUGUUGGUGGGGUAAUGGCCUACCAAGGCUUCGACGGGUAGCCGGCCUGAGAGGGUGACCGGCCACACUGGGACUGAGACACGGCCCAGACUCCUACGGGAGGCAGCAGUGGGGAAUAUUGGACAAUGGGCGGAAGCCUGAUCCAGCAACGCCGCGUGAGGGAUGACGGCCUUCGGGUUGUAAACCUCUUUCAGUACCGACGAAGCGCCGAUGAUGGUGGUGACGGUAGGUACAGAAGAAGCACCGGCCAACUACGUG